UUUUGCCUCCAACUUGAAAACACAUCCACAGUUCAUCAAGUCUGCCGCCUCCACUGCUGUCUCCCUGAAUUUCAUCUCUCGGCAGAACUUUUAGAGUAACCCCCGAACCACUCUCCCUAUGUCCAUGGUUUCCCCAUGGUGUCUAUAUUCCACUCUAAAUUCAGAACCAUCUUUUUUUCUUUUUACCACCACACCUGCAGCAUAUGAAAGUUCCCAGGCUAGGGGUUGAAUCAGAGCUGCAGCUGAGGCCUACACCACAGCCACAGCAAUGUGGGAUCCAAGCCGCAUCCGUGACCUACACUGCAACUUGCAGCAAUGCUGGAUCCUUAACCCACUGAAUGAGACCAGGGAUUGAACUCACAUCCUCAUGCACACAAUGUUGGGUUCUUAAUCUGCUGAGCCACAACAGGAACCCCAAAACCAUUUUUAAAUAACCAAGUUAUAGUACACAUGUUAUUCUACUACUCAAAAUCAUCUCAUUUCCUUUCUCUUGAAAAGUUAAAUUCAAAUUCUUUGCAUUAUCCUUUAAGGAUCUCAGUGAACAUGGUUUCAUGCUUCCUCUUUGAAUUCAUCUACUACAUUGUCCCCUUUUGUUCAUUCUGUUCCAACCACACUGACCUCCCUUUAUCUUAAAAAAAGAAAAGGCAAGCAUAAACCUGUCUCGAAGCCUUUGAAUUUGUUCUGCUCUCUACACAGAAAAUUCUUAGCCCAGGUGGCCACAUGGCUCACGUCCUUACUCUCUGCUCAAAUGUCACCUGAGCAGAGACGUUUCCCUUGACCACCCAUAUGAAAUAGCACCAUCCCACCCACACUGUGCAUUCUCCAUUCCCUUCCACCUGUGCUAUUCUUCUUCCUAUCCUUCACCACUAUCUGACAUGUUACAUCCUUUUUUGCUUGUUUGUCUCCUCCGGCUGGAAUGCAAGUUCCUACGGAGGAGGGCCAUGGCUAGUUUUGUUCACCAUGGAAUCCCCAGCACGUAGGAUACUGUAUGACACAGAGCAGGCACUCAAUAUUUAUCCAUUGUUGAAAAUGAGUCAAUUGGUUCGUAGUAAAUUUGGAUUCAAUUUUGGAUUAGAAAUUCAGCUUAGACCCCAGCACAAAAGGAAUUCUUUAUUCCUCUCACUCUGAAAGUGUUAGCCCCCAGGAGCAGGAUGGAGAACCAUGGCUGUUUACCUAUUUCAUGUCAACAAGAUUAGGUUACAGAAUAGACAAGAUCUUGAAUUAAAGAAAGGCAGGUCCCAACAGGACUCUCCAUUGGGUCCAGCCACCCGAUGGGCAUGUGAGUCAUUCCUCACCAAGCAAGGAGGAGUAAAACUGGGCGUGGGAAACACCCACGUUAUCUUCCUAAUAUAGUCUGGAGGGCCAAGCCCCUUUUUAUGAGCUCAGAAAUACUGGGUAAGGGAUAGAACACUUCCUACCAUAAGCAAGAGAAUGGUUAUGACUGUAACAAUAGAGAAAAUAGUGAUGGGCCUCUUCCCAUCUCCAGUUCCCUCCUAAGUCUAUCGGAAACAAAUGGCAUUACAGGAAUUUCUUUUCUUCUCCACCACCGUGGUUUCCAUCAUUUGUGCUCUAAGUCCAGGACAUCUGCCCCCCUACCCACAGAUAUGCACACAGAGAGAACUGUGCGUUGUAUUGAAGGAGAUGAUGGUCCUUUCUAAGGAUAUGGCUAUGUGUUAGGUAGGACAGUAAUGGUCAGAAUUUACGGUAACCAUACACUUGAGAACCUUCUAGAACCAAGCCUGAUAAGCCUUAUAACUUACUAACUGUAUAAACUUACACAAGUCAGUUAACCUCUGUGAUUCAGUGCCUUAUCUGUAAAACAUAAAUAAUAAUACUUCCUUCAUCAAGUUGUUCUGAGAAAUAAAUUUGUAUAUAUAUGAAUAUAUAUACAUAUGAUAUAUGUCAUACCAUAUAUAUAUAUUCUAAAUUUUAUGUUGCAAUUAUUCAAUUUAUAGUUUUCUAUAAUCAACAUUAAAAUUAUGUUUUAUGAGAUUCUGAAAAAUGUAAUAUAGUAUUUCCUCAGUACAAAUAAUGGAAGAGUUUUCCUUGAAGCAAUGAUAAAUAGAAAUUUUAUGUUGCAAUUAUUAAUACAGGAGCUCUGGUGUAACCAAUGGAUAGUGGCAGUGUUCUUAUAUUUAUAUUCCGCUUUAACAAAUAAAAUGUAUUUAAGGUAUUUAAUUCUUUACUGGGUGUUCAGUGGUGAAAGAAUGAGACUGAUGCUGUAACACAAGGUUUCAUUAAAGAUUUACCUGAUACCGUCUUUUAUUAUUAUUAUUAUUUAUUAUUAUUAUUAUUUUGUCUUUUUAGGGCCAUACCCACAGCAUACGGAGGUUCCCAGGCAGGGGUCUAAUCGGAGCUGUUGCUGCCAGCCUACACCAGAGCCACAGCAACGCCAGAACCGAGCCAUAUCUGCAACCUACACCACAGCUCAUGGCAACACCAGAUCCUUAACCCACUGAGCGAGGCCAGGGAUCAAACCUGCAACCUCAUGGUUCCUAGUCGGAUUCGUUUCCACUGCACCACGAGGGGAACUCGACACUGUCUUUUAAUGAAGACAUUAGGUAAGGACAUUUGUGAAGGAGGAGAUAGGACAGUAGGUGGAAAUCAGAUGCGUAAGUUCCCCCAGAAACUGAGCUAUUUAGCAAAAAUGACUUUAUUUCAGCAAUUUGUGAGGGGAAAAAACAAAGAAUAAUAAGACAUUAGGUGCUAGGAUACCACUCACCAGCUCUAGAAUUCUAGUCUAAGAGCCAUUCUAUUCAGCAUUUGCUGUUAGUGAUUUGGAUAGAGACUAAGACGGCAUGCAUAUCUAAUCCCCAGUACCACAAAGAAUAGCAAGGUAAUGAACGACACUGACAGUCAAUCUGAGAAUUAAAAAGAGCAGGACAGCCUGGAAUGCUGGUCUGAAAUAAGCUAUCUGUAACAAAAUAUGAAGGCAGAAUGACAUUUAUAAAAAUGUAGAAUGAUGUAAAUAGCAAAUGAUCAUUCAGUGGUUAGUCAUUCUUCCAGGCCCUUGGUUAGGAGAUAGAGAUACAAAAAAAAAAAAAAAAAAAAAAAAAAAAAAAAAAAGAAAAAGAAAAACAUUUUAUCCCAGCUCCUCGUAAGAAUCAGUCUAAUUGAGGAA
Molecule: long non-coding RNA, 3121 nt
Filed under: Sus scrofa (pig)
Lineage: Eukaryota; Metazoa; Chordata; Mammalia; Artiodactyla; Suidae
Description: lncRNA (ENSSSCG00005019095.1)
Source: RNAcentral